This 366-nucleotide ribosomal RNA is filed under the name uncultured bacterium. Its description in RNAcentral is "bacterial SSU rRNA". It matches the Rfam family "Bacterial small subunit ribosomal RNA", at positions 30 to 395 of the family's 1533-position model. The record is from RNAcentral.
AUUGAACGCUGGCGGCAUGCCUCACACAUGCAAGUCGAACGGCAGCACGGGGGCAACCCUGGUGGCGAGUGGCGAACGGGUGAGUAAUGCAUCGGAACGUGCCCAGUAGUGGGGGAUAACUAGUCGAAAGAUUAGCUAAUACCGCAUACGACCUAUGGGUGAAAGCGGGGGAUUCGCAAGAACCUCGCGCUAUCGGAGCGGCCGAUGUCUGAUUAGCAGUUGGCGGGUAAAGGCCCACCAAGGCUUCGAUCAGUAGCCUGGUCUGAGAGGACGACCAGCCACACUGGGACUGAGACACGGCCCAGACUCCUACGGGAGGCAGCAGUGGGGAAUUUUGGACAAUGGGCGCAAGCCUGAUCCAGCCAU